AUGCUGUGGCAGACUCAGCUCCUCUGGCUCCUCGUGCUCUGGGCGCAGGGCUCGACCGGGGACAUUGUUGUGACUCAGACCCCAGAGUCCCUGGCAGUGUCCCCAGGAGACACAGUCACCAUCCAGUGCAAAACCAGCUCCAGUAUCAGCAGCAGCAGAAUGAACUUGCACCAGCAGAAACCAGGGCAGGCUCCUAAACUUCUUCUCUACGGCACAAACAACCGCCUCUCUGGGGUCCCCAACCGGUUCAGUGGCAGUGGGUCUGGAACUGACUACACUUUUACAAUCAGCCGGGUGGAAGCUGGUGAUGCCGGAGACUAUUACUGUGAGCAGAGUGAUAGUUACCCUCUCACA
Non-coding RNA from Alligator sinensis (Chinese alligator), 354 nucleotides. The record is from the annotation of a RefSeq genome assembly. NCBI's taxonomy places the organism in Eukaryota, Metazoa, Chordata, Crocodylia, Alligatoridae.